Long non-coding RNA from Sapajus apella (tufted capuchin), 102 nucleotides. RefSeq lists it as uncharacterized. The record is from RefSeq and is a predicted model, not a curated record. Lineage: Eukaryota; Metazoa; Chordata; Mammalia; Primates; Cebidae. The transcript is spliced from 3 exons.
UCAUUUUGCCUAUACUUUCUCAUAAUUCUGCAAUAGCCUGACAGGUUAAUAUAAUUCUCAUAAUUAUGCUUUCUCGUAAUUCUGCAAUAGCCUGACAGACUG